GCAGAAUCCUUUCUGCACAAACUAGGAUACUUUGACAGUCAGUGUGCGGAAAUGCUUCUGCUC
This 63-nucleotide microRNA precursor is filed under the name Monopterus albus (swamp eel). Its description in RNAcentral is "Mal-Mir-147-v2_pre stem-loop". It matches the Rfam family "mir-147 microRNA precursor family", at positions 9 to 65 of the family's 78-position model. The record is from RNAcentral. Lineage: Eukaryota; Metazoa; Chordata; Actinopteri; Synbranchiformes; Synbranchidae.